This 1245-nucleotide long non-coding RNA is filed under the name Bos indicus x Bos taurus (hybrid cattle). Its description in RNAcentral is "lncRNA (ENSBIXG00000028593.1)". Lineage: Eukaryota; Metazoa; Chordata; Mammalia; Artiodactyla; Bovidae. The record is from RNAcentral.
UAAGUCUUGGAAUUCAGCAGGCUUUCAGUAAAAUUCAGAAAUACUUAUUCUUUCAUGUCACCCCUCACAGAUUAUACCUAAAUCCCACUGGAGAAUUCUGAUUAUACUUCAAGAGAGCCCUUGGACUUUUUUUAGGGUGGACUUAACCUGUAACAGGAUGCUAUAAAAGGACAGCGUUCCCAUAGUGAUGAGGAUGAUAUCAUCAAGACUGGUUCCAGCAGUGAGUACCAACCCAUUGCUCACCACAGGAAUGGAUGGGAUAAGAGAUAACAGCAUUUUCUGUUCAAAUACCGAGAACUCAAAGAUUAGCCAGGCUAACAAGCCAGGAAUUUUCACUAAACGCUUAAGCAAAACCACUCAGAUGAAUAAACCUCAAAGACUUAAGUCAAAGAGCCUCAUUAGGAGAUGAAUAGCAAAUGCUGUGUUCCAAAGGUUAAACACUUUUAAGCCAAGAGGAAGCAACAAGGCAUAAAGCGAGCAGAGUAUGGUUUGCUACUCAGAUGUGAUGCAGAGUCCAGUGCCACAGCCUCCACUGAGGGGGCUGCAUUCACACAAUGUUGGGACCUAGAGACACACUUAAAAGGCCAAUUGUGGGACGUUCCUAAUGGUCCAGUGGUUAAGAAACCACCUGUUAAUGCCUGGUCUGGGAAGAUCCCAUGUGCUACAGGGCAACUUGUACCUCAACUUCUGAAGCCCGCACACCCUAGACUUCAUGCUCUGCAACAAGAGAAGCCACUGCAAUGAGAAGCCUGUGUCCCACACCUGCAGAGUACCCUCGUCUGCCCUACAACAAGACCCAGCACAGCUAAAAGAGAAGCCAAUUGCUGUUGUUGUUUUUAAUUUCAAAUGCCAAUGCAAGUCCUUUCAUUUUUUCAAUGAAACCAUUUGGAAUUUAGGCUAACUGACUGUGAAUUUAUAGUAUCAUACCAUUUUAAGGUGGUCUUGCCAUUGCUAUGUUCAAAUGAAAUAAUGGAUAGACCUUGAGUAGAGUGGGAGAUGAGGACAAUCACUUUCCUUGUUCUCAAUCCUGACUUCUGCAUUCCCAGUGCUCAAGGUACAAUUCUUUAGGCUUCAAUUUAUAGGAUACUUUGAUGAGCUGAGAGGGUUUAAAGAAGACACUCAAAAAUGCAUCAGUUCAGUUCAGUUCAGUUCAGUCGCUCAGUCGUGUCUGACUCUUUGCGACCCCAUGAAUUGCAGCACGCCAGGCCUCCCUGUCCAUCACCAACUCCCAGAGUUCACUCAAAC